Long non-coding RNA from Hippopotamus amphibius kiboko, 343 nucleotides. RefSeq lists it as uncharacterized. The record is from RefSeq and is a predicted model, not a curated record. The transcript is spliced from 3 exons. NCBI's taxonomy places the organism in Eukaryota, Metazoa, Chordata, Mammalia, Artiodactyla, Hippopotamidae.
GAGGAGUGUUCUCUGCUGCUCUGUUGGGUGCUGUCUGCCUUGAAAAGAUCCGGCUGCUAAACUGAACAAGAUCUACCAGGAUGAUUUCAUGCCUACCACUCCAAGUUCCCCAGCUCUCUCUUCAGCAGAAGGAGAUGGAGCCUUUGGAGGUGAUUUGGAUUAGAUGAGCUGAAGAAAGUUGAACCCUCAUGAAUGGGAUCAGUGCCAUUUUAAGAGUCAUGAGAGAGCAUGCUUCUCUCUCCGCUCCCCUCCAUGUGAAGAUACAGUGAAAAGAUAGCUGUCUAGAAAGUAGGCUCUCAUCAGACAACAAAUCUGCCAGCAGCAUGAUCUUGGACUUCCCAGC